Molecule: ribosomal RNA, 181 nt
Filed under: Klebsiella pneumoniae subsp. pneumoniae KPNIH8
Lineage: Bacteria; Pseudomonadati; Pseudomonadota; Gammaproteobacteria; Enterobacterales; Enterobacteriaceae
Description: partial 23S ribosomal RNA
Rfam family: Bacterial large subunit ribosomal RNA
Source: RNAcentral
AAUGCGGAAGAGAUAAGUGCUGAAAGCAUCUAAGCACGAAACUUGCCCCGAGAUGAGUUCUCCCUGAGACUAUAAGUCUCCUGAAGGAACGUUAAAGACGAUGACGUUGAUAGGCCGGGUGUGUAAGCGCAGCGAUGCGUUGAGCUAACCGGUACUAAUGAACCGUGAGGCUUAACCUUAC